AUUUAACUAAUGAAUCCCAAAUAGGACGAAAUGAGCGUCCUAGAU
This is a non-coding RNA of Schistosoma rodhaini, 45 nucleotides long. Lineage: Eukaryota; Metazoa; Platyhelminthes; Trematoda; Strigeidida; Schistosomatidae. The record is from Rfam.